Molecule: long non-coding RNA, 658 nt
Organism: Topomyia yanbarensis
Lineage: Eukaryota; Metazoa; Arthropoda; Insecta; Diptera; Culicidae
Exons: 3
Source: RefSeq, a predicted model, not a curated record
CAUAUGCAAACGCAUUGCUUUAAAAAUUUGCCGCGCCGCGCCGUGCCGCAACCGCAUUGAUUGUGUUCGGGCCUUUAGUUACGCGAGUGAUUAUAAACAAUGAAAACAUGGUUUUGCAUAAACAAGAGAUGGUCUAUCUUAACGCCGAUAAUAAUUCAGCCAUCCCAACCGCAACAGCAGCAAACAACUACAAUUCCAGUGUCUUUCAGCAACAUUUUACAGCAGCAGCACAUUAAGAUUUCCCAUCAUCCGACCGGGAUAUAGCAAAAACGUUCAAACUAUGCUUCUGCCACAGGGUUUGACUCCCGAUCCUGCAGUUCGCGCUCCUAUCUCCGAUGCCUCAAUUUGAUACUAAUCAUCAGAAUGACCGCUUCAAGUUCUGCAACCUUAUCAACUUCACGUUUUAGCAAAUAUUGUCGACGAGAUUCAAUCCUCAACUUGGUAGCAACUUGAUCAUCCGCUUCGAGCUUCUCCUCUAAAUCGGACACAAGAUCGCUUUGGAUUUGCAAGAAACAUUUCGUCAAAGGAAGAACUGUGAGUCCAUAUGAUUUUGCUGAUGUCGAUUGGGUUCCAAGCCUCUGCUUGAAUACAACUGAAAGUUUCCUAAAUGUACUAGAUGCAAAAGUUGAAAAUGUAGAUAGUAGUAACCUCUUACGGC